Molecule: long non-coding RNA, 2257 nt
Filed under: Homo sapiens (human)
Lineage: Eukaryota; Metazoa; Chordata; Mammalia; Primates; Hominidae
Description: HSALNT0025686
Source: RNAcentral
UUAUUCUUUCAUUCUCUCUCAGGACACACACACGCACACACACCCCUUCCCUACUUAUUCUUUCAUUCUCUCUCAGGACACACACACACACACACACACACACACACCCCUUCCCUACUUAUUCUUUCAUUCUCUCUCAGGACACACACACACACACACACACACACACACACACACACACCCCUUCCCUACUGAAUAGGAUCCCACUGCUAUAGGAACAAUGUCUUACUCUCUCUGGUAUCAUUUUUAGUUUGCAUAGGACAUACCCAGCAUGCUUGUUUAAAACAUAAAGGGCUCUGGGCCUUUGGCAGUUUGAUGCAACUGUCCCAAGCAAGCCUAGAAAUCCGCAUUGUAAGAGCUCCCAGUUUUUUCUGAUGCUAGGAGUUGACAGCACAUUUUGCAAAAUAUGCUAGGGUGUUCUAUAUAGAAGGCAUGCUAUAAACAUAUGUUGCCUUCUUAACAUAAAGGAACUAACAUUCUUUGUGCCUAUUUACAAACAAGAAAAUAGACUCUACUUAGAAAUGAAACUCAACUAAAGGUAAAAGUUGUCAGGAACAUCUCCAAGAAAGCCAGAGUCAGCCUCUAAACUUUGCAUCAAGAACGCAAUGGCUUCCCUGAGGGCCCAGGGACGCGUGGCAGCUGUGAGGCAGCCCCUUCUCUGCUGUCGAGGAACUGGACACUUCUCCUGUCCCUUCCCACAAGGGGCUUCCUGGAGCUCCUGCAACCCCAGGCAUUAGUUCCGGUGCAGUUCUAGGAUCAGAUCAAUUCACUCGACAACAAGAGAAACAAAUGGAGAUUCCUACACAAAGACUUUCAAGCACAAAGAAAUCCUGCUGCCUGUAAAGCGGAGCUGCCUCAGCCCUUGAUGAACGACAGAAAAUCUCACAUUCCAGGAAUUCAGAUGAAGUGAAGUGCUCUCAUGGGGACCAGGCAUGGUUAUGCCAGUCCACUGCCCUGCAAGCCUCAAGGGAAGCCAACUGCCCUUCAGCAAGUCACACCUGCCUUGGUGGAGGCCUUGAUUGGAAGUGCCACACGCUACAUGUCCAGUCCUGAGCGGGAGAAUCGGUGUAGGGACGUUCUGGGGAUGCCAGCUGUGGCCAGAUCAGGUCCAACUACAGAAGAAUAAUGAAGACUCCACCUGAGGGCUGGAAAAACAAAACCUCAAGUGUGAGGCAGCCAACCUGUUACCUCGAGGGACUGUUCCGCAGCACAGCGGGGCCAUGGGAACAGCAGCAGACACCCCGACCUCCUCGCUACCUAUCAACUAUGGCCUGAGUAUGAUAGACUUAUCCAUGGUUUAAACAGAAUAUAUUGUUUUCAACUUUGAAAAUAAGAAUAUGGAAAUCCAGAUGCAGAAAUGUGAGAAGAAAAGAGAGUAAACAGAGUGGAAGGUCAGGUGACCUUGCCUGUCAUGAAUAUGAAGGUCAAGGUGUGUGAAUUGUGAAAUUUCCAAGAGAACCUCACUGAAGCAAAGAAUGAAGAAAGAAUUGCAUUUGGCCCUGGGAGGGUGCAGGGGUGAAUGGUGCAGGAGCUAAAUCUUUAUCAUACCCAGAAAUCAACAGCCACUAUUUGAAAUCAUCUAAAUUCGUGCUGCUAACCUUCAGUGUACACACGAAUCACCUGGGGAUCUUACUAAAAGCUAGUUUCUGAUUCACUAAAUCUGUGUGUGGUGGAAGUUGAGGGCAGAGAAGCUCCCGAGGGUGUCAAGCUGACUCUGAACCCGACUUUGAGGGUUAAGGUCCCAAAUGGCAUCGCCAGCACCAGGGACAGACACUAAAAUUGUAGAAAUCGUCUCAAGAAAUGAACAGCCUCUAAGUCAGAUGUUGAAUGUGAAAGAAAUCAGGGUGUGUACGUGUGUGUGCAUUUGUGUGUGCACGUGUGUGCCUGUGUUUGUCUCUGUGCAUGUAUGUUUCUAUGUGUGCACAUGUGUGUAUGUGUCUGUACAUGUGUGUUUCUGUGUGUGUGCCUGUGUGUGUAUUGGCUUAGAUCUGUUCGAGACUUUUUAUUUGAUGAGAUCGAUAUAUGCCACCACUUUUGGAAAGGACAACGUAUAUACAAAGACAAUGAUUACUUAUGUAAUGUGAACGGAGUCUCUCUUCGACCCUCAAAUGUUUUGUAGAAAGUAAUGAUGAUGGUGAGGAUUAUAACAAUGCGUGUUUCCUGAAUAACAAAAAGGAGUUACAGUACACUUUUACCUAUUUUUCCAAAGCGCUAGGUCAAGUUUAGCUAAAGUCUGCUUGGAAUUAAUGAGGCUUGG